UUCCUCCUCAUUGAGCUUGAUUGUCUUGGAGUCUCCUUUAUACCUCUCUUAUCAAAAGGUAGAGCCGUAGGCUGUUAUCUAGAAUCUGUAGAUUUGUUAGGCCAUUGGGUCAUGUUCUAACUGUUCAUUGGGAAAGGAUUCUUCCAAUAACAAUCGAAUCAAGGUUGUGGAUGUCCGUUGCGUAUUUCGCCCAUGUAGAAAGUUGUGUGGCAAUCAGUAAUAAGCACGAGGUCAAAGUUCCGGACCCAAGUCCGGUGCGAUUUCGCCAAGUCAGUCCGAAUGCUCCUCAAAGAGAGGGGUUGUCCCGAUCGGGAGGAAACCUCCACAGCAUAAAUAAUGAACACUUCCAAUAUGCAAUAAUACUGUUGGCAUU
Molecule: long non-coding RNA, 373 nt
Filed under: Elaeis guineensis (African oil palm)
Lineage: Eukaryota; Viridiplantae; Streptophyta; Magnoliopsida; Arecales; Arecaceae
Description: long non-coding RNA (EGUI_LNC024377)
Source: RNAcentral